Cynocephalus volans (Philippine flying lemur) is the source of this 369-nucleotide long non-coding RNA. RefSeq lists it as uncharacterized. The record is from RefSeq and is a predicted model, not a curated record. NCBI's taxonomy places the organism in Eukaryota, Metazoa, Chordata, Mammalia, Dermoptera, Cynocephalidae. The transcript has 4 exons.
GAGCAAGAUGGCGACCCCGGCGGCGGUCAACCGUCCGGCUGUGUUCCUGGCAGUCUGUGACUGAUGGUCAUCAACAGAGCUGUGGCAUGUGUGUGAUUUUGAAGGAAAGAUUCUAAUCUGGAUACGAUUGAGCUUCAGUGCUGCUACUGUUGUGCUCUGCUUCCUGUUCCUGGAUGAGGGGCCUUCACAAAGUUCUCACGGCAGGAAUAUUAACAGAAUCAAUCUUCAACUUUGUCGAAGACAUUUCUUUGUAAGGACUUCAACUUCAAUAUUUUACAUCGGGUAACCCAUGGACUGGACAAAUAUAUGGACCAUGGACUUGGCAAAUAUAAGUUUCAUUUGAACGUAGAGCACAAACAUAUAAUUCCA